AGAUUGAACGCUGGCGGCAUGCCUAACACAUGCAAGUCGAACGGGAGUAGCAAUACUCUAGUGGCGGACGGGUGAGGAAUACGUAGGAAUUUGCCCUUAAGUGGGGGAUAACCCGGGGAAACCCGGAUUAAUACCGCAUGACCUCGAAAGAGCAAAGUGGGGGAUCGCAAGACCUCACGCUUUUGGAGAAGCCUACGUCGGAUUAGCUAGUUGGUGAGGUAAUGGCUCACCAAGGCUACGAUCCGAAGUAGGCU
This 254-nucleotide ribosomal RNA is filed under the name uncultured soil bacterium. Its description in RNAcentral is "partial 16S ribosomal RNA". It matches the Rfam family "Bacterial small subunit ribosomal RNA", at positions 26 to 292 of the family's 1533-position model. The record is from RNAcentral.